This is a long non-coding RNA of Drosophila obscura, 686 nucleotides long. RefSeq lists it as uncharacterized. The record is from RefSeq and is a predicted model, not a curated record. NCBI's taxonomy places the organism in Eukaryota, Metazoa, Arthropoda, Insecta, Diptera, Drosophilidae. The transcript is spliced from 3 exons.
UGGACACCUCGAACUGGUUUGCCGACGCCGACACCCGGUACCGUAUCCCGCGCACCCUCACGAGACGCUUUACGCGCCGGCCGAUCCGGCGUGUGCCUUCAACUGCCCGGACCACUGCCUCCGGCCACUCUUUGAUGGCCACGUGUCGCCAGCGGACAUUCUCCCCCGUCGGCUCCUCCAUCGACUGCUGUCUCUGCAGCUGCGGCCGGGCGACCUCAGCCGUGGGAUCUGGGCACGAUGUUUGCCUCAUCAGGACAGGCCUAGCCUUGGCCUUCGCAGGCUUUGACGCCCUUCUUCCCCUCCCCGCCGAACUGAUCGAAUCCCCCCUUCGGCCCAUCCCAUCCUGCAUCCUUGGUCCGCGAUGCCAAUCGUCAUAAAUGCCCGUGACUAACAGGUCAUCCAACCUUUCGCCCGGCUGCAUCAUGACGAUCGGCCCUGGCUUGUCACCGCAUUGCCGCCUUCGGUUUGGCCUUUGGCGUGACCUCUGCCCCAUGCAGCUGCUUCGGACCCGAGGAUCAUCCGACUCCUCGCCCGUAAGCAACGCGUGGGUAGUGCCUUUUGCCCGGCCAAGCCCGACGGUUGUAGAUGACCCAGGAAUCCUGGACCACAGGACCAGGAUUAUCCCAUUUCACUGGAUCCCCGAGGGUAUCUCUCCGCCGGGUCUCGGUCAGCCGAACGCCUUUGGC